AUACACUUAAGAUAUCAUUAGAAUUAGAAUAGUGCAGUGUGGAAUAGCUAGCCCUCAGGCAUCCAAGUUGAGAUGGAGCUCAGGGGUCCCAAAGCAUGGCUAUCAAGAGAGGGGCAUAACUUAAUAGCUAUGAGUAAGCGAAAAGUGAUUGGGAACCAUAUCAAAUGGUGGUCAUGCCCAGCUAUAGGUGUAUACUGGCACACCCCUGACCAUUUGUUGGUCCAAACAAGUUAAGAGCAGACCUUAAUAGUUAUACCUGAGUCUAAAUGAUGAUUAGAACACCACCAGACCCAAGUUAGGCUCAAAAUAUGAAGAGAAAAGGGAAGUGGGAAUUGAUUUGAGUAAGGGGUUCGAAGAAUCCAGUUCAAAUUCAUAGGCAGCAAUAACAAAGUGCUGCCAUGGCUGGAAAUGUACUCUCAUACAAAGGGGUAAAAGGAAGGGGUUCACAUGAUAAAAGAGCACAAAGAGUUGCAGAAACACGAUGAGGGAACACAUAACAUACUAGAACAAACACAUGGUGAAAGAAAUCAUAACAAACUAGGGAAUAAUCACACACUGAAGGGGGAUUAUGACAUACCAGAUGCAAUGUACUAGAGUAGCAGAAUAACAGAGUAAGCAUACUGCAAACGAUCAACAACAGCAGACUUAAGUCUUCACCACAUACUUGAGAAUUCAAAAGAGAACUCAAGAAUACUUUAGAAGUAAGUAGCAAGCAGAGACACUAUAAGUAAGAAACACGAUUUGAUUGUGAAAGAGUGCAGAAACAUUGAUCUUUUCAAAUGCAGAAGUAAUGAAGAGAAAGUAUUGAAUUUGGAGUGUCUGUGUGUUGAAUUCGAAGUGCCUUUAAAAGUGAAGAAGAGUCAUGCCCUUUAUAGUGUAGAAAUCAAGUAAAAAUUGGUAAGAAAAUAAUCCAAAAAUCAAUCACACAAGAUUUCCUUCAAUUAAGGGAUUCUGAUUUCAAACGAGUAAAAGAUAAUUAAGGAAAGAGUUUGAUCAAAAUCUUUUCCCAAAGUAGCAUAAGAAGGGUAAAUACAUAGAAGUCUAUAUAAGGAAAAAGUCUAGUCACACAGUUUGCAUGAAUAUGGAAAUGGAAUCAAUCAAAUAUCAAAAUAGCAGGCUUUGUUCUAAUGAACCAAGAUAGAAGUAUAUAUAUGGAAAAGGUCCAGUGACAUACAGUUUGUUAGCAUAAGGAAAUGGAAUCAAUCAAAAUAUCAAAAUUGCAGGCUUUGUUCGAAUGAACCAAGUCAGGAAAAGUGAGGAGAGGGUUUUACUUAAGGAAAAUCAAUGACAAUCAAUUAAAACCCAAAAUGAUUCUGAAUCCAAUCUUGAGUUGGAAAACCUUUUUUGAAAGAAAAUUCCUCAUAUAUAAAGCAGCAAGAAUGUCAAACAAGAAUGAAUUUUCACGCUAAUUAGAAAAGACUAGAAAAGUUCAGAGUCAAAGAAGAGUACAAAGACUCAGAUGAUUCUAUGAAACCUGGAGUUCAAAAAUAUUAACCCUAGUUCCAACACAAGAUCCAAACUUGUCAAAACCCCCCUCAAAUCCUAGGGGUUUAGACUUGAGCAAGAUGCAGAGAAGAAAAGCAAAUAAUUGAAACAUGCUCAGAGACUCAUAGAAAAUGAACAAAUAGCAGGCUCAAGGCAAAUAAAACUGAUUUGAUAUAUAGUAAGAGUAGCAAGAACAGAUUUUAAAAAACUUGGAACUUAAAUAAGUUUUAAAGAAUGUAGAUAAAGAACUGACGCUUAGUAGAAAAUACAAUAAAGGAACACAUGGGUAAAUGAACAUAUAAGAUAAACAUGUGAAAGCAUGCAAUAGAAACUAGUAGAAGAAAGAACGGAUAACAUGCAUAAUAAGGCAAACACCAUGUGAAGACCAUGCGAAGAAAGACAUUAGAACCCAAGCGAAAAAAUUAGAAGAACAUGGCAUAUACAGAUAGAUUCACACACAAAAAAAGAAGAUGAAUAGGAGACACAAGUCAUUUUAAGAUUUUCAGAAAACCCUAAUUGAAACAGGCUACAUUUGAAAAAGAAAAAUCGGGGAAAAGCUUCAAAACGUAGAAUACAACAUAGAUUUAUCACAGAUCUAAGAAAAAGAGAAGAAGGAACCCCGAAAUAGCUUUGGGGUUUCUCAGAAAUCCUAGAAAUGAGAAGGAUUGGAAAAGGUCUGGUCUCGAACAGAUCUGAGCCGUGGCUAGGCUCUUAAGGCUUAAACACGUCGGAACUGAGCCAGAGAGGCCAUAGGAGCACAGAUUGGCGGAGGAUCUGAACAGGAGUCGUUGAGAUCAGACCUCAAAACCUUGAAGAACCAGGGCCAACGGUUAAAGCAGGUGAGCACAGGUCGUCCAUGGCCUGAGAAGCCAUGGACUCCAGUGAAGGUUGAUCGGUGAAGACGAGGGAGAUGAUUAGAGUUUCUAGGGCUUGAGAGCGUUUGAGAGGAGGAGAGUUUGAAGGCGGCUG
Molecule: long non-coding RNA, 2454 nt
Filed under: Nicotiana benthamiana
Lineage: Eukaryota; Viridiplantae; Streptophyta; Magnoliopsida; Solanales; Solanaceae
Description: long non-coding RNA (NBEN_LNC021994)
Source: RNAcentral